Molecule: ribosomal RNA, 433 nt
Filed under: uncultured bacterium
Lineage: Bacteria
Description: partial 16S ribosomal RNA
Rfam family: Bacterial small subunit ribosomal RNA
Source: RNAcentral
ACGAAGGCAGCAGUAGGGAAUAUUGCACAAUGGGGGAAACCCUGAUGCAGCGACGCCGCGCGAGUGAUGAAGUAUUUCGGCACGUAAAGCUCUAUCAGCAGGGAAGAUAAUGACGGUACCUGACUAAGAAGCCCCGGCUAACUACGUGCCAGCAGCCGCGGUAAUACGUAGGGGGCAAGCGUUAUCCGGAUUUACUGGGUGUAAAGGGAGUGUAGGUGGUCUGGCAAGUCAGAUGUGAAAGCCCGCGGCUCAACCGCGGGACUGCAUUUGAAACUGUCAGACUGGAGUGCAGGAGAGGAAAGUGGAAUUCCUAGGGUAGCGGUGAAAUGCGUAGAUAUUAGGAAGAACACCAGUGGCGAAGGCGGCUUUCUGGACUGUAACUGACACUGAGGCUCGAAAGCGUGGGGAGCAAACAGGAUUAGAUACCCUGGUA